Molecule: long non-coding RNA, 3078 nt
Organism: Falco peregrinus (peregrine falcon)
Lineage: Eukaryota; Metazoa; Chordata; Aves; Falconiformes; Falconidae
Exons: 5
Source: RefSeq, a predicted model, not a curated record
UUUUGAUGCACAAAGAUAAUUGGGUGAUUUGUUAGUAAAACAUUAAAAAAAAAAAGAAGAAAAGUUACUGAAAAAACGUGGUUAAAACUCUUAAAAUGGGCAAAACCUUGUAAAAUUUAGCAAAUUGUCCAUGUAGAAUAUUAAUACAUGUUAAGAACACGUUAUACAUUGUAUGCAUACAAUCAGCUGUUUGUGUAUUGUAAAUAUAUCUUCAACAAGGGGUCUUUGUAAAAUUUUAGUUCUGAGCAAAAUUAUUUCCCACUUGCUUUUAUUGACAGCUAUGUGUCAAAACCUCAUGGUUACUGUCAGAAAUAUCAAACUUUACCGCUGUCUUAGAGCAUAGGUUUAUUAAUUUACACAAAUAAAGAAGUGAGGAUGGAGGAAAAUCUGUAGCUAAGAUUUUUAAAAAGUUGGAGGUCAUUUUGCUUUGUUCCAGGGCUGUGCAAAACUGUAAUAUGCUUGUCAGUUAAACUGGCUUGGGGUUGUUUACCCAUUCCGGGCACCUAGCCAGCCUGACUUACAAAACUGCAAUUAUCAUGAUUGUUAGGAAUAGUUCCACUUCUCUAGGAUUUCUUCUCCCUUGCUUCUUUUCUUCUUUGAGGAAGUCUUAAAUUUUCCUGUCAGUUCUGAGGAGACCCUAAUUUUCCCCUCAGGGGUUCCCACAGAGAUGCAGAGGCUCUCCAGCUCGGUGACAGACAUCCUUCCAGAUGCAACAAGCAAGAGUGUCAAUCCUUGGGAUCAAAUCCCUGCUGGCCCCGGCCAACAAAGCCAGGUCUUGCUGCUAGGAGACCCACAGUGUUCACUUUUUUUUUUUUUAAUUUUAUGGUUUAAUGCAGAAUUUCUAAAUAUAUGUCUAAUUUGAAGGCUGAGAGGCUUUGGCACUUGUGUUGUUUCUCAUUUAUGGCCACACCGUCCCUGUGGCAGUUGCUGGUGGUUUGUCCACAAACGCUCCUGGGGUAUUUUGAGGCCCCUCCACAAACAUGAAUUGGGAAGACAGAAGGGCACCAGGUGCUGGGCACCCAGCAGCUUUUGGGCUGCAGGUGCUGUGAAGUGCCCACCGUUUGAAGGCGCUCGGGUAACAUGGUGUUUACUGCGCUGUUGCCUCCGGCCUCGCUGUCUCCAGGAAGAAUAAGCAACCGCUUCUGUUGGGCUCCUAGAUAACUCCUUUCCAACUCUUCCCAGUCUGCCGCGCUGGCUAGACGUAGCGGUGGAUGGCUUUCGUUAUCAGGCAGAGCACGCGGGAAGGUGCAGUUUCAUGUUGCUGGUGUGAGCUGGGAUCGCGGCUUCCUUCACGAGAAAGCCUGCGAGGUGGUGAUAGCGUGUUGACGUAGCGGGGAAACCGGGCAAGUCUGUAAUCUUCGCCGUGUCGUACUCUGCUGUUUUAUCGUCGGUGAUUUGCAGGGUCAAGUAUGGCCGCAGGCCAGGCACGGCGCAUGGAUGCCCUUGCGCAGCUCUCGAACGGAGCUCCUGUUGUGCACAAGAGGAAAAACAGAUGUAAAAGACCCUUAAUCUCAGCUGUCAUCCCCGCAGGGCAGCUGUGCCUCUUCCGUGUCUUCCGCAUACCAUAUAAUGCUGGCUUCAGAAAUACUUCUGUGGAUGUUACGGCCCAGCUCUUGAGAUCACAAAGUUAAGUCUGCAGACUCCUAUUUUGAUGUGAUCAGUCUUGAGACGCCUACUAAGAAACAAGCAGAAGUGGAUGAGUGGUAAAGCUUAGAAGGGAUCUCUGGAGGUCAUCUGGUCCCACCCACCCCUACUCAAGGAGGGCCACCUACAGCUGGUUGCCCAGGACCAUGAUCAGAAGCUUUUUGAGUAUCUCCAAGGAUGGAGUCCCUACAGCCUCUUUAGGCAACCUGUGCCGGUGCCUGUCACCCUGACAGAGGGAUGAGGAGGACCAAAAGAACUCUGUCACCAUCAUCUCAUUUUCUAUUGCACUUCAAAAUCUUUGCAUAUCAAACCACUCUCCAUCCUGUGAGUACCUCACGAGGUAAUUGUAUUUUGGAUUUUGUUUGUUAGUAAGUCUGGUGCAUGGCUUGCCAAUCAUGUCCCUCGCAAGUAGGAAAAAAAAUGCAGACUUGUGAGCAAAGUAUUUUCUAGAGAAAUCAGAGUGACUGUACAGGACUGGACCAUGAUGAUUGUGUGCUAUACAGGGCCUCUCCUCCUGAUACUUCUUCCCUUGGAAAGAAAAAUUCACCUGUGUGCCAUCUUCAGUAUAACUGAGUUCCCAAGCUGUGUGACUUAAGGUUGCCAACCCAGCCUCUGCUACAGCCUUGUGAGACUGCCUGUGUGUUGACAGCUGCUGACAGUUCCUUUAGGAUGGAAAAUCAUAAUGCAAACUGUAAUUGAGUUGAGGUAUCUCCUCCUUCCUACUCUCUUCAGCAGCAUACUUGUCAUGUUCCAGAUGAACGUUAAGUGCCUCAACUUCCACCAGCAAACCCAGGGAGAGUACAGGCUCUAUUGAAGAAAGUCUCUCCCGUCCACUCGGCCAGAAAUGGUUUGUUUGCUGCCCAGUUCCUUAGAUGCCUGCAGUCUUGUUUUAUCCACUGUUUGGGUAAAGUAUGAAAAGUAUCGGUGUAAAGUUAAGCAGUUUACAGCUCAGUAUGACUUUAAUCUCACCUAAAAAGAUUACUUAAUUCCCCUGAACCUUGUUUUCAGUAUAAUGGUGCAUGGAGCAGUGUCUUUUAGCAAUGUCAGCAAUCCAGUGAAGGACUCACUGAAGGAAACUGCUUCACAUCCUGGAUUCAUGCAAAUUAGGAAGCUUGAACAAGGAAAAGACCUGUAGAGGAACAUCCUACAGCCCCUCUCUUACAGCGAGUGCUUUGAGGCUUACAGGAGACCUUUACGGAGCAUCUCAGCUCUCGUGCACUAUGAUCAGGAGGCAGCCCGACACCCUGGCUGUCAUGUGGACUACAGGCACGAUGGGAUCGUGUAUCCCUCAUCACUGACACAAGGGCGUAAGAAAUACUGCCAAGCGUGCUGGAGGCUGACAGGGAAACCCAGCAUGUGAAGCCUGAUCAUGCAGCUCCUGUGCUUUGCAUCCAAGACCAGAAAGCCAGCCGAAGAACUCCACAGCAGACGCAC